This 464-nucleotide ribosomal RNA is filed under the name uncultured bacterium. RNAcentral describes it as "bacterial SSU rRNA". It matches the Rfam family "Bacterial small subunit ribosomal RNA", at positions 29 to 506 of the family's 1533-position model. The record is from RNAcentral.
AUGAACGCUGGCGGUGUGCCUUAGGCAUGCAAGUCGAGCGGGCCUCGCAAGAGGUCAGCGGCGGACGGGUGAGUAACACGUAGGAAUCUACCCUUUGAUUAAGGAUAGCUCGUCGAAAGACGGGGUAAUCCUGUAUAAGUUCCGAGAGUAAUCGAGGAAGAAAGCGAGUAACUUCGCGUCGAAGGAUGAGCCUGCGCCCUAUCAGCUAGUUGGUGGGGUAAUGGCCUACCAAGGCAAUGACGGGUAGCUGGACUGAGAGGUCGGUCAGCCACAAGGGCACUGAGACACGGGCCCUACACCUACGGGUGGCAGCAACCGGGAAUAUUGCGCAAUGGAGGAAACUCUGACGCAGCGACACCGCGUGUGGGAUGAAGAUCUUAGGAUUGUAAACCACUUUUAAUAGGGAAGCCUCGGCGUUUACGUCGGGGGACGGUACCUAUCGAAUAAGCACUUACUAACUACGU